CGUAAAGUUUCGCCGUGCGCGGCGCGGCCCCCGCGGUGCUGCCGGCCCCGCUGCGCGCUCCGUGAGGGGCGCGGGUCCCUCCGGGCGCCCCGGCUCCCCUCAGCCCCGCGGAUCGCCACAGGGGAGCGGGGGAUGCGCCUUCCUGCAGUAAUAAAUAAAUUGAUUAAAGUGGGAUUUGGAACUCCGCUUCCUGCUACUCAAUCCGCAGCAAGACAGAGGGGGAAAUAUCUACCAAAAUUCUGCCUGGCAAGAUGACAGCAUCAGUUGUGAAUUUGGGUGGAUCAAAUAUUAGUAUUUAAGCCACUAUAGCGUUUCACCCAGAAAUCUUCUCCAGCCUGGCAUAAAUUCGGGGGAACUCCUGGCUGCCACCCCUCUUUCCUCAUCCCAGCUCCACGGAUGGCCACUGCUCUCCUGGAGUUGUGCCACGUUCAAACGAAGCCCUCGGAAAACGAGCAGCAAUUAGAGGAGGCUGAUGAGCAGCACUCCGAUAAUCCUGCGUGUAAUGAAGAUUUCUCUCCAAGUCUGAAAUGCUGUUUGGGGAGGGGGCAGGGUGCUCGGUGAGAUUGCUAAAAAAAAUAUAAAAGUCAGAUGACUCCAGCACGCCCACGGCUCCCAUAAUUAGCCCGUCUAUUUCAGUGGUCUGAGGCAGCCCAGUGCAGAACCCUUCCAUUUGAAAUUAUUUGAAAUUAUUACACACAUGUCAUAAUCGUGAUCUAGUAUGAUCAACGAGCUCACAUCAAGUUGAAAGAAUUUGGCCUUAAAGCUCUGUAAUUGUGUGGAGACAAAUCCUUGGUUUAUUUGAAUCACUUCUGUAUUUUUUUUCCCCCUGAAUGAGGCUGCUGCACAGCCAAACAGCUUUUCCUCUGCUUCUUCACUUCCUACCAAAUUCAGUGGGAUGUGGACAUGUGCUUCAAGUGUUUUGCUAAAUCAUGGCACACCACUAUCAAACUUGACACGUGGCCAUAAACCACAGCGGCCUCUCUCAAAACUCACUUGAAAUAAAGCAGCCCCAGAAUGGCUUCGGCUGCAUUAAAAUAAGGAAGAGAACUAAAAAAGGGGAUACAGAAAAUCAGGUUUAAAAUGGUCCUGCCAGUGUUUUUACAGCCAAACCUCACCCAGGCUCUUCAUUUUUUUGCAGUUUGGGCUUUUUGAU
Long non-coding RNA from Zonotrichia leucophrys gambelii, 1153 nucleotides. RefSeq lists it as uncharacterized. The transcript is spliced from 3 exons. The record is from RefSeq and is a predicted model, not a curated record. NCBI's taxonomy places the organism in Eukaryota, Metazoa, Chordata, Aves, Passeriformes, Passerellidae.